UAGGGAAUAUUGCAAAAUGGGCGAAAGCCCGAUGCAGCAACGCCGCGUGGGCGAUGAAGGCCUUCGGGUCGUAAAGCCCUUUUUGAGGGGAUGAGGAAGGACAGUACCCUCAGAAUAAGCCUCGGCUAACUACGUGCCAGCAGCCGCGGUAAAACGUAGGAGGCGAGCGUUAUCCGGAUUUACUGGGCGUAAAGCGCGUGCAGGCGGAUUGGAGAGUCGGAUGUGAAAGCUCCCGGCUUAACUGGGAGAGGUCGUUCAAUACUUCCAGUCUUGAGUGCAGUAGAGGGAAGUGGAAUUCCGGGUGUAGUGGUGAAAUGCGUAGAUAUCCGGAGGAACACCAGUGGCGAAAGCGGCUUCCUGGACUGUAACUGACGCUCAGACGCGAAAGCUAGGGUAGCAAACG
RNAcentral lists this ribosomal RNA (403 nucleotides) under uncultured bacterium. RNAcentral's name for it is "bacterial SSU rRNA". It matches the Rfam family "Bacterial small subunit ribosomal RNA", at positions 355 to 774 of the family's 1533-position model. The record is from RNAcentral.